GAUCAUGGCUCAGGAUGAACGCUGGCGGCGUGCUUAACACAUGCAAGUCGAACGAAGCAACUAUCUUGCUGCAAGAAGUGACUAGUGGCGGACGGGUGAGUAACGCGUGGGUAACCUGCCUCAUACAGGGGGAUAACAGUUGGAAACGACUGCUAAGACCGCAUAACCCGCUAGUGUCGCAUGACACGGACGGAAAAUAUUUAUAGGUAUGAGAUGGGCCCGCGUCUGAUUAGCUAGUUGGUAAGGUAACGGCUUACCAAGGCGACGAUCAGUAGCCGACUUGAGAGAGUGAUCGGCCACAUUGGGACUGAGACACGGCCCAAACUCCUACGGGAGGCAGCAGUGGGGAAUAUUGGACAAUGGGGGAAACCCUGAUCCAGCGAACCGCCGCGUGAGUGAAGAAGUAUUUCGGUAUGUAAAGCUCUAUCAGCAGGGAAGAUAAUGACAGUACCUGACUAAGAAGCCCCGGCUAACUACGUGCCAGCAGCCGC
RNAcentral lists this ribosomal RNA (491 nucleotides) under uncultured bacterium. RNAcentral's name for it is "bacterial SSU rRNA". It matches the Rfam family "Bacterial small subunit ribosomal RNA", at positions 15 to 518 of the family's 1533-position model. The record is from RNAcentral.